CUACCAAGCACUUUGAACAAGCAUCUGACCAAAAGGUGUGGAGACUACGAAUCAACAAGAUUUCUUGCAGUAUCAAUGCUGCUGGAUCCUCGGUUUAAAAAAGUAGCCUUUGGCAUGGAGACAAAUGCAGAGAUGGCUGUUUGAGCUUUGACAUCCGAGGCCAGCCAACUGAAUGCUGUAGAAUGCCACCCAGGGGCAACAACUUCAGUUGCACCACUCACACAUCAACAAACCAGGGCUAGUUGUGUGUGGUCUGAUUUUGAUGUGAAGGUGAGACAGCAAAAAACAACAACAUGGAUAUCGUAACUGAAGUGAAAAUGCACCUCUCCCAGCCAAAUGUCAACAGAAUGUGUUCAGCAUUGCACUUCUGGCAUGAACAAGGACAAAAGUUCCCAAACAGACU
This is a long non-coding RNA of Sinocyclocheilus anshuiensis, 403 nucleotides long. RefSeq lists it as uncharacterized. The transcript is spliced from 3 exons. Lineage: Eukaryota; Metazoa; Chordata; Actinopteri; Cypriniformes; Cyprinidae. The record is from RefSeq and is a predicted model, not a curated record.